Molecule: ribosomal RNA, 517 nt
Filed under: Pediococcus pentosaceus
Lineage: Bacteria; Bacillati; Bacillota; Bacilli; Lactobacillales; Lactobacillaceae
Description: bacterial SSU rRNA
Rfam family: Bacterial small subunit ribosomal RNA
Source: RNAcentral
AAGCUCUGUUGUUAAAGAAGAACGUGGGUAAGAGUAACUGUUUACCCAGUGACGGUAUUUAACCAGAAAGCCACGGCUAACUACGUGCCAGCAGCCGCGGUAAUACGUAGGUGGCAAGCGUUAUCCGGAUUUAUUGGGCGUAAAGCGAGCGCAGGCGGUCUUUUAAGUCUAAUGUGAAAGCCUUCGGCUCAACCGAAGAAGUGCAUUGGAAACUGGGAGACUUGAGUGCAGAAGAGGACAGUGGAACUCCAUGUGUAGCGGUGAAAUGCGUAGAUAUAUGGAAGAACACCAGUGGCGAAGGCGGCUGUCUGGUCUGCAACUGACGCUGAGGCUCGAAAGCAUGGGUAGCGAACAGGAUUAGAUACCCUGGUAGUCCAUGCCGUAAACGAUGAUUACUAAGUGUUGGAGGGUUUCCGCCCUUCAGUGCUGCAGCUAACGCAUUAAGUAAUCCGCCUGGGGAGUACGACCGCAAGGUUGAAACUCAAAAGAAUUGACGGGGGCCCCCACAAGCGGUGGA